AAUAAGCUUUCUAUGCAAAAUUCCCCCAAAAUAAAAAGUACUUUUUUUAGAUGAAAAUGCCGUUCCCAUAUAAAAAAAUCAAUUUUGUGUGAUUUGACGCCUCACAAGUUCUACUGCCGGAGCACCUUUUGCCACCGUCUGAGCGAUGUGUCUCACAAGUUCUAUUGCCGGAGCGUCCUUUGCAACUGUCGAAGCGGUAUUGCUGGAGCGCCCUUGGCUACUACCGAAACGCUGUGUCGCACAGGUUCUACUACCGGAGAGAGAGGCGUGUGAGAGAGAGGCGUGUGCAAUAGUAUUAAGGGUAGUUUAGUCUUUUUAUUUUAUUUUAUUUAGGUUGGGGGUUAUUUGCAUAAAAAAUUUGUUAUAGGGAAAAAACUGAGAAAAAAAGUUAGAUUGAGAG
RNAcentral lists this long non-coding RNA (400 nucleotides) under Amborella trichopoda. RNAcentral describes it as "long non-coding RNA (ATRI_LNC001050)". The record is from RNAcentral. Lineage: Eukaryota; Viridiplantae; Streptophyta; Magnoliopsida; Amborellales; Amborellaceae.